ACAUUGGUUGUUUAGUGGUAGAAUUCUUGCCUUCCAUGUAGGAUCCUUGGGUUGGAUUCCCUGCCAAUGCA
This 71-nucleotide transfer RNA is filed under the name Loxodonta africana (African savanna elephant). It matches the Rfam family "tRNA". Rfam says of the family: Transfer RNA (tRNA) molecules are approximately 80 nucleotides in length. Their secondary structure includes four short double-helical elements and three loops (D, anti-codon, and T loops). The record is from Rfam by way of RNAcentral. Lineage: Eukaryota; Metazoa; Chordata; Mammalia; Proboscidea; Elephantidae.